GGAGAGCUGUCCGAGUGGCUGAAGGAGCACGCCUGGAAAGUGUGUAUACGGCAACGUAUCGAGGGUUCGAAUCCCUCGCUCUCCGCCA
This 88-nucleotide transfer RNA is filed under the name Sedimenticola selenatireducens. Its description in RNAcentral is "tRNA-Ser". It matches the Rfam family "tRNA". Rfam says of the family: Transfer RNA (tRNA) molecules are approximately 80 nucleotides in length. Their secondary structure includes four short double-helical elements and three loops (D, anti-codon, and T loops). Further hydrogen bonds mediate the characteristic L-shaped molecular structure. tRNAs have two regions of fundamental functional importance: the anti-codon, which is responsible for specific mRNA codon recognition, and the 3' end, to which the tRNAs corresponding amino acid is attached (by aminoacyl-tRNA synthetases). tRNAs cope with the degeneracy of the genetic code in two manners: having more than one tRNA (with a specific anti-codon) for a particular amino acid; and 'wobble' base-pairing, i.e. permitting non-standard base-pairing at the 3rd anti-codon position. Lineage: Bacteria; Pseudomonadati; Pseudomonadota; Gammaproteobacteria; Chromatiales; Sedimenticolaceae. RNAcentral also lists the same sequence under 2 other names. The record is from RNAcentral.